RNAcentral lists this long non-coding RNA (1066 nucleotides) under Marmota monax (woodchuck). The record is from RNAcentral. Lineage: Eukaryota; Metazoa; Chordata; Mammalia; Rodentia; Sciuridae.
ACAGAGCGCUCCGCGUCUGCGUCCUUCGCUGCCCAGUGGACAAUGAGGUUCCAGAGUGAUUCUCAUCCUGCCCCCCCCCACCCCCAGGGCUGGGCAUGUUUGGCGUGGGAUUUCCCAGGAAGGGUUUAGGACCGUCUGGUGAGGUGGGGCUAUUCACCGGGACACGAGGAAACCAGGACAUCUGAAGAGAGUUGACAGUUGGCAGUGACGUCGUGAACACUCAGUGUAGCUCGCCACAAGCCAGUUUCCUGUACGUUAGUGUCCUGGCCCCUCGCCAGCCCAGGCGCUUGGGUGCCCGGAAAGGCAUGCCCAACCCAACCCCAGAACUGUGGGGGGUUAUUUGGAAACAGGGUCUCUGCAGUGGUCAUUAGUGGAGGGUCCUGAGAUGGGCUCCUCCUGGGUCAGGGGACCCUCAUGCAGUGGCUGGGUCCUCCCAAGAGACGGAGGAGGGGACAUAGACCCAGAGGAGGAGCCCCGUGGAGACGGAGGCAGAGACUGCAGUGAGGGGCCACCCGCCCAGGGCCACCUGGAGCCCAGGAGCUGGACAGGCAGGGGGAGCCUCCGUGGUGGAGUCCGUGGAGGGAGCUCAGCCGGGGACCCUGGUCCAGCCUCCGCCCUCCAGGCCUGGGGAGCUGGACUCCUGUGGUUUAAGCCCUGGGUGUCUGGCACCUGGUCAGGCGGGGCUGGAAGUCACAAGCGGAGCUUGUUUAGACCCGGAGCCUCAGGGAAUGGUCUGGAGAGCUGUGCUUCCCACCCAGCCUGGCGGAGGUGCUUUUCUGAGAAACUGCCUGGUGGGUCUGUUUUGUCAGUUUGGUGCAUUUUAAAUGCCAGGCCCAAUCAGAGGGAGCCACCCUUCCUCCAGAGAGCCCAGACCCGCGCCUGUCUCUGGAGGGCCCGCUCUUUGUUUAAGGGUACGUUUGUUCCCUAAGUGGCUCGUGCUGUGGGCCUCUCCUUUCCCCUGUGGAGGGUGCGUCUGCCCCUCAGCAAGUUGCGCAUUUGAGUUGGGGGGAGCUGGGGGGCCGCGCCCGCUGCGCAGGAUGGUUGAGACCCUGCAGCAGCCGCAGAC